AGAGUUUGAUCAUGGCUCAGAGUGAACGCUGGCGGUAGGCCUAACACAUGCAAGUCGAACGGCAGCGCAGGAGAGCUUGCUCUCUGGGUGGCGAGUGGCGGACGGGUGAGGAAUGCAUCGGAAUCUACUCUUUCGUGGGGGAUAACGUAGGGAAACUUACGCUAAUACCGCAUACGACCUACGGGUGAAAGCCGGGGACCUUCGGGCCUGGCGCGAAAGAAUGAGCCGAUGCCCGAUUAGCUAGUUGGCGGGGUAAGAGCCCACCAAGGCGACGAUCGGUAGCUGGUCUGAGAGGAUGAUCAGCCACACUGGAACUGAGACACGGUCCAGACUCCUACGGGAGGCAGCAGUGGGGAAUAUUGGACAAUGGGCGCAAGCCUGAUCCAGCCAUACCGCGUGGGUGAAGAAGGCCUUCGGGUUGUAAAGCCCUUUUGUUGGGAAAGAAAAGCAGUCGGUUAAUACCCGAUUGUUCUGACGGUACCCAAAGAAUAAGCACCGGCUAACUUCGUGCCAGCAGCCGCGGUAAUAC
Molecule: ribosomal RNA, 529 nt
Filed under: uncultured bacterium
Lineage: Bacteria
Description: bacterial SSU rRNA
Rfam family: Bacterial small subunit ribosomal RNA
Source: RNAcentral